AGUGAACGCUGGCGGUAGGCCUAACACAUGCAAGUCGAACGGCAGCACAGGAGAGCUUGCUCUCUGGGUGGCGAGUGGCGGACGGGUGAGGAAUACAUCGGAAUCUACUCUGUCGUGGGGGAUAACGUAGGGAAACUUACGCUAAUACCGCAUACGACCUACGGGUGAAAGCAGGGGACCUUCGGGCCUUGCGCCAUUGAAUGAGCCGAUGUCGGAUUAGCUGGUUGGCGGGGAAAAGGCCCACCAAGGAGACGAUCCGUAGCUGGUCUGAGAGUAUGAUCAGCCACAAUGGAACUGAGACACGGUCCAUACUCCUACGGGAGGCAGCAGUGGGGAAUAUUGGACAAUGGGCGCAAGCCUGAUCCAGCCAUACCGCGUGGGUGAAGAAGGCCUUCGGGUUGUAAAGCCCUUUUGUUGGGAAAGAAAUCCAGCUGGCUAAUACCCGGUUGGGAUGACGGUACCCAAAGAAUAAGCACCGGCUAACUUCGUGCCAGCCGCCGCGGUAA
Molecule: ribosomal RNA, 506 nt
Filed under: uncultured bacterium
Lineage: Bacteria
Description: partial 16S ribosomal RNA
Rfam family: Bacterial small subunit ribosomal RNA
Source: RNAcentral